AAACCAACCAAGGAAGGAGGGGAUUCAGGAAGCAGAAGAGAUGAGUAGGCAUUGGCCACCAGCUGCCGUUCCCUGGACCACAGCUCUAAACCCACAGGAGCAGUAUGAACCAUCUUUAGAGACAGUCUGGAU
Molecule: long non-coding RNA, 132 nt
Filed under: Cavia porcellus (domestic guinea pig)
Lineage: Eukaryota; Metazoa; Chordata; Mammalia; Rodentia; Caviidae
Description: lncRNA (ENSCPOG00000037764.1)
Source: RNAcentral